GCUCCCUUAGCUCAGAGGUUAGAGCUUUGUACUUAUGAUGCAAGGGUCGGCGGUUCGAACCCGCCAGGGAGCA
RNAcentral lists this transfer RNA (73 nucleotides) under Omphalotus olearius VT 653.13. RNAcentral describes it as "tRNA-Ile (TAT) (tRNA-Ile-TAT-2-1)". It matches the Rfam family "tRNA". Rfam says of the family: Transfer RNA (tRNA) molecules are approximately 80 nucleotides in length. Their secondary structure includes four short double-helical elements and three loops (D, anti-codon, and T loops). Lineage: Eukaryota; Fungi; Basidiomycota; Agaricomycetes; Agaricales; Omphalotaceae. The record is from RNAcentral.